CAGCUAAGCUAUCCAAAAGAGGUAUCGAAAGGCAACCAAUCUUUCUUGAAGAUUCUCUGCAUGGCAAGGAAAGAGAAUUUUUCAAGGAACAAGAGCACCGAACUGUUUCACAAGAAACAAAAUAUGAACUGCAAGUGCAAGAUGGGAUAGAUUGGUUAAGUCUGAAGGACGGAUUCCACUACAAUGGAGCUACCUCAAGACAAGUUCGGGGGUUUUUUAAGAUGACUUGCCCCUGCUCUGAAAACUGGAUCCCCGUAAUGACACCUCAGGCACAGCAGCCAUAACUAGAACGUGGAAAAACAACAGUACAAGUAGCUCAGUGAACAGGAGAACUAAUGAGACUUUGCUGUCUAGCUCCCUGUACUAGAUAGACAGAUACUGCAGUGACAGUCAGUCAACCAAGUUAUACUUUCUGACAAUGCCUUUGCUGUGGUUAACUUAGCGGCUCAUCAAAAAUCCACUGCUACCUCCAAGGUAAAUUCAUGCAGUGCAUGUUCUGGAAACCAGACUUUCAAGCUUUGCUGUCUUCUCUUGGGUGUCAUGAAGAGCAAGCAUGAGAUUCCACAGGAAGGGAAAUGGUAUGUAAAUCUGAAAAGCAUAGCCUGCAUCUUCAGUCCCUCACAUGAGUUCACCUUCUCUUUAGCUUACCUAUGGCAAUGGGAGCAAUCCAUGCUCUUUCGGGAAUAUUUUGUUAAGGCUACCUACUGAUAGCCUUCUCUGUCUUGAAGCAG
Long non-coding RNA from Harpia harpyja (harpy eagle), 731 nucleotides. RefSeq lists it as uncharacterized. The record is from RefSeq and is a predicted model, not a curated record. Lineage: Eukaryota; Metazoa; Chordata; Aves; Accipitriformes; Accipitridae. The transcript has 4 exons.